Molecule: ribosomal RNA, 497 nt
Filed under: uncultured bacterium
Lineage: Bacteria
Description: partial 16S ribosomal RNA
Rfam family: Bacterial small subunit ribosomal RNA
Source: RNAcentral
GAUGAACGCUGGCGGCGUGCCUAAUACAUGCCAGUCGAGCGAACAGAUGAGGAGCUUGUUCCUCUGACGUUAGCGGCGGACGGGUGAGUAACACGUGGAUAACCUACCUAUAAGACUGGGAUAACUUCGGGAAACCGGAGCUAAUACCGGAUAAUAUAUUGAACCGCAUGGUUCAAUAGUGAAAGACGGUUUUGCUGUCACUUAUAGAUGGAUCCGCGCCGCAUUAGCUAGUUGGUAAGGUAACGGCUUACCAAGGCAACGAUGCGUAGCCGACCUGAGAGGGUGAUCGGCCACACUGGAACUGAGACACGGUCCAGACUCCUACGGGAGGCAGCAGUAGGGAAUCUUCCGCAAUGGGCGAAAGCCUGACGGAGCAACGCCGCGUGAGUGAUGAAGGUCUUCGGAUCGUAAAACUCUGUUAUUAGGGAAGAACAAAUGUGUAAGUAACUAUGCACGUCUUGACGGUACCUAAUCAGAAAGCCACGGCUAACUACGUG